This 450-nucleotide ribosomal RNA is filed under the name uncultured bacterium. RNAcentral's name for it is "partial 16S ribosomal RNA". It matches the Rfam family "Bacterial small subunit ribosomal RNA", at positions 354 to 796 of the family's 1533-position model. The record is from RNAcentral.
GUGGGGAAUUUUGGACAAUGGGCGAAAGCCUGAUCCAGCCAUGCCGCGUGCAGGAUGAAGGCCUUCGGGUUGUAAACUGCUUUUGUACGGAACGAAACGGUCCUGGCUAAUAUCCGUGGCUAAUGACGGUACCGUAAGAAUAAGCACCGGCUAACUACGUGCCAGCAGCCGCGGUAAUACGUAGGGUGCGAGCGUUAAUCGGAAUUACUGGGCGUAAAGCGUGCGCAGGCGGUGCUGUAAGACAGGCGUGAAAUCACCGGGCUCAACCUGGGAAUUGCGCUUGUGACUGCAGUGCUGGAGUGCGGCAGAGGGGGAUGGAAUUCCGCGUGUAGCAGUGAAAUGCGUAGAUAUGCGGAGGAACACCGAUGGCGAAGGCAAUCCCCUGGGCCUGCACUGACGCUCAUGCACGAAAGCGUGGGGAGCAAACAGGAUUAGAAACCCCGGUAGUCC